GCCCGGGACAGCUCACUUGAGUCCCGAAGUGGCCCUCGGGCCGCAAUACUUGCCCACCCCUGAACCGCAGGCUCAUGUCCCCCUUACUGAGGCACAGAACGAACACGGCAGGAGGGGAGAAGGUGUUGUCCUGUGUUUAAUGCGCCCGCCUGGGACCCAGAGACCUGGGGCGUGUUCCUGACCCUUCUGCCAACUUGCUGUAUAAUCCAGGGCAAGGUUUUGAGAACAGAAGAAUCCUGCAUUUGUGAGUGGAGAUCAGAUUAGAGGAUCUCCCAAAUCCCUCCCUACCCAACUUAAUGGAAAGGAGCUAGAUUAUAGUUGCAUAGCAACUCUGCUUCUGGCAUCUUGAUUUGCAACCUUUAAUUAACGUCGUCUUUGUAUGCAAUUAUAUUUUCUGUUACUCGUUUUUCACAUUAUUUAAAUAUGAGCUGGUCUUUGGAACAAGAAGCAUGUGAACAUCACAGUUAUUAUAAUUUGUCCCGUCCUGUGAUCAUUGGUUGCAAUAAUGUCUAUCUUUACUCUGUUUUGCCUGUAAAGAAAAUGGCCCUGAUUGGAUGUGGAAGUUUGCAAAGGCUGUAUACAAUGGCCUUAGCGUUCUCUCAGUUUUUUGCUGCACUUUGAGCAUUGUGUUAUUUUCCAUAGGACUCUUGUCUUUGAAGAUCCUACACCUGCCUCAUUGCAAACCAAACUGCCAUUUCAUUUUCUGCUAACGUUGCAUUACAGAACUGCUUGAAAUGUCCUAUUCAUUUGAGUAUGCUGUCAAAUUGGGACAUUGUCAGUAUGCCUCCCUCCUUGGUCUGUCCAAAGUGGCUGAGAUGUGAAAGGCUGGUGACCAGAGCAGCAAGCUCUUCUGCUGUUUAAUCACCAGUAACAUGGCUGCACUGCUUAAUGGUUCCCUACUAGGAGGCCAGCAGCCACUUACCCCAAGCAUUUGGCUCAGCAUGUGGACAUCAGCCAAGAGGAAAAUAAUAUUUCUGUUUCGACUGUACGGUGUCUGCAAGCAUAACAGCAACCUAGAGCAGCAACCUUUUAAGGCUGCGGACCGCAUUGUCCCAGUUCGGAUCAGAGUAGAUGGGCACUUGGACCCAGCCACAAUGGCCACUUUUCAUCACAGCAAGCAGAGACACUGCUGCCAAAACCCCAUGUCCCCCAAAGCUGGAUCCAAUGGGUCUGUGGGCUGCAUCUGAUCUUUGAGACGUAAGUUGUUGAGCCCUGAUUUAGAGCAUCUAUCAUGAUGUCUGAGUUCUCAGUAUAUGUCACCAUUUUAGUUGCAACACCAUUAAAUUAAGUAGAGUCAGAAUUGUCCUAUGUAAUUGGCAAUAUCCCAUGAUGAAAAGCCUGCAUUUAAUACCCACUGAGCAUGUCUACAAAUGUAUUAAUGCACCGUUGCUUCUGUGCAUUAAGUUUAGGACCUCCAAUAUGAGGUACUACAUAAAUGCACUGUAGCUGGCACUAAUAUGCGGUAGCAAAAGCACACUGUCGUUUUGUGAUGUUUAAUGUGCAGAAAGCUAGUUCUACUGCAUUAGCACAAUUUUUGCCAUGACACACUAAUGCAUAGUAGACUAAUUUUACUGUGCAUUAAGUGUCUUGUGUUGACACACCCACUUACUCUGUGGUUAUUCUGCUUGCAUCUAAAUGGAAUAUGUAACUUUGCUAUUUUCCACGUGUUUAUUUCCCCCUCAUCUAAAACUCUCAGUUUUUUCUUUUACUUUAAAAACCUGGCAUUUUUCUCAGAAAGUUCAGACAUUAGCAGAUAUGAAUAAAUGUUUCAGAUUCCUAAAACUGUAUAAAUAA
RNAcentral lists this long non-coding RNA (1794 nucleotides) under Crocodylus porosus (Australian saltwater crocodile). RNAcentral describes it as "lncRNA (ENSCPRG00005000659.1)". Lineage: Eukaryota; Metazoa; Chordata; Crocodylia; Crocodylidae. The record is from RNAcentral.